UACAGAGGUGGCAAGCGUUGUUCGGAAUUACUGGGCGUAAAGGGCGCGUAGGCGGCCAUCUAAGUCAGACGUGAAAUCCCCCGGCUUAACCUGGGAACUGCGUCUGAUACUGGACGGCUUGAGUAUGGGAGAGGGAUGUAGAAUUCCAGGUGUAGCGGUGAAAUGCGUAGAUAUCUGGAGGAAUACCGGUGGCGAAGGCGGCAUCCUGGACCAUUACUGACGCUGAGACGCGAAAGCGUGGGGAGCGAACAGG
This 253-nucleotide ribosomal RNA is filed under the name uncultured bacterium. Its description in RNAcentral is "partial 16S ribosomal RNA". It matches the Rfam family "Bacterial small subunit ribosomal RNA", at positions 524 to 776 of the family's 1533-position model. The record is from RNAcentral.